Molecule: non-coding RNA, 535 nt
Organism: Paramisgurnus dabryanus
Lineage: Eukaryota; Metazoa; Chordata; Actinopteri; Cypriniformes; Cobitidae
Source: RefSeq, a predicted model, not a curated record
AAUACUUAUUUCAUUAUUGCUCUGUGUAUGUGUGACUGUGACCUUAAUCAUUUGAGGUUAUGUGUUGAUUUCACCUCUGAAUAUUUCCUCUUAUAGGUCCAUCAUCCUUGCAUGCGCUACACACUCAAAAGCAUUGAUAAAUGCUGAAUUUAAAAGAAUCACUACUGUCUUAUGUUCCUGCGUGUCACCUGGACCUCCAAUCCAAAAACCUGACGAAACUCUUCUAUCAGAAAGGAGGACAGCUAGCAAACAGACUUCAAACAAUGAAUGAUCAAAUGACAGAAGGCAUGAAUGAAGUCAGCAUCAGUGUGGUCAUUUGAAGACACCACUGUUGGGAUUUGUGCUCUCAAACAACAUGCUUCUUGUGAUGAAGAAGAGGAUCUUUGUAUAGUCCUGGAAGGCAUGAAGGUGUUGCAACAUCGUGCCAUGUUGUUUGAGCUGAUGUAUGCCUUAAACCUGAGCUAUCCUGAUCUCUGCUUUAUUUUUGAAGAAAUCCAAAAGAUUUAAAUGGAACUGCAUUGAGCGUAACUUUAAC